CCUACGGGAGGCAGCAGUGGGGAAUAUUGGACAAUGGGGGAAACCCGUGAUCCAGCAAUGCCGCGUGAGUGAUGAAGGCCUUAGGGUUGUAAAGCUCUUUUACCAGGGAUGAUAAUGACAGUACCUGGAGAAUAAGCUCCGGCUAACUCCGUGCCAGCAGCCGCGGUAAUACGGAGGGAGCUAGCGUUGUUCGGAAUUACUGGGCGUAAAGCGCACGUAGGCGGUUACUCAAGUCAGAGGUGAAAGCCCGGGGCUCAACCCCGGGAACUGCCUUUGAAACUAGGUAACUAGAAUCCUGGAGAGGUGAGUGGAAUUCCGAGUGUAGAGGUGAAAUUCGUAGAUAUUCGGAAGAACACCAGUUGGCGAAGGCGGCUC
This 375-nucleotide ribosomal RNA is filed under the name uncultured bacterium. RNAcentral's name for it is "bacterial SSU rRNA". It matches the Rfam family "Bacterial small subunit ribosomal RNA", at positions 338 to 727 of the family's 1533-position model. The record is from RNAcentral.